Molecule: transfer RNA, 72 nt
Rfam family: tRNA
About the family: Transfer RNA (tRNA) molecules are approximately 80 nucleotides in length. Their secondary structure includes four short double-helical elements and three loops (D, anti-codon, and T loops). Further hydrogen bonds mediate the characteristic L-shaped molecular structure. tRNAs have two regions of fundamental functional importance: the anti-codon, which is responsible for specific mRNA codon recognition, and the 3' end, to which the tRNAs corresponding amino acid is attached (by aminoacyl-tRNA synthetases). tRNAs cope with the degeneracy of the genetic code in two manners: having more than one tRNA (with a specific anti-codon) for a particular amino acid; and 'wobble' base-pairing, i.e. permitting non-standard base-pairing at the 3rd anti-codon position.
Source: Rfam
UCCCAUAUGGUGUAGUGGCUAACAUCAGCGUCUCUCACACGCUAGCCGGGGGUUCGAUUCCCCCUAUGGGAG